GAUGAACGCUGGCGGCGUGCCUAAUACAUGCAAGUCGAGCGAACAGACGAGGAGCUUGCUCCUCUGACGUUAGCGGCGGACGGGUGAGUAACACGUGGAUAACCUACCUAUAAGACUGGGAUCACUUCGGGAAACCGGAGCUAAUACCGGAUAAUAUAUUGAACCGCAUGGUUCAAUAGUGAAAGACGGUUUUGCUGUCACUUAUAGAUGGAUCCGCGCCGCAUUAGCUAGUUGGUAAGGUAACGGCUUACCAAGGCAACGAUGCGUAGCCGACCUGAGAGGGUGGUCGGCCACACUGGAACGGAGACACGGUCCAGAGGCCUACGGGAGGCAGCAGUAGGGAAUCUUCCGCAAUGGGCGAAAGCCUGACGGAGCAACGCCGCGUGAGUGAUGAAGGUCUUCGGAUCGUAAAACUCUGUUAUUAGGGAAGAACAAAUGUGUAAGUAGCUAUGCACGUCUUGACGGUACCUAAUCAGAAAGCCACGGCUAACUACGUG
Molecule: ribosomal RNA, 497 nt
Filed under: uncultured bacterium
Lineage: Bacteria
Description: partial 16S ribosomal RNA
Rfam family: Bacterial small subunit ribosomal RNA
Source: RNAcentral